CUACGGGCCGCACCAGCAGGGAAUAUUGCACAAUGGACGGAAGUCUGAUGCAGCGACGCCGCGUGGAUGAUGAAGGCCCUCGGGUUGUAAAAUCCUUUUCAGGGGGACGAGGAAGGACGGUACCCUUGGAAUAAGCGUCGGCUAACUACGUGCCAGCAGCCGCGGUAAGACGUAGGACGCAAGCGUUAUCCGGAUUUACGGGGCGUAAAGCGUCUGUAGGCGGAAUGGUAAGUUGGACGUGAAAGCUCCGGGCUCAACCCGGGGAGGUCGUUCAAUACUGCCAAACUAGAGGGCAUCAGAGGAGCGUGGAAUUUCCGGUGUAGCGGUAAAAUGCGCAGAUAUCGGAAGGAACACCAAUGGCGAAGGCAGCGCUCUGGGAUGAACCUGACGCUAAGAGACGAAAGCUAGGGGAGCGAACAGGAUUAGAUACCCCCGUAGUC
Molecule: ribosomal RNA, 440 nt
Filed under: uncultured bacterium
Lineage: Bacteria
Description: partial 16S ribosomal RNA
Rfam family: Bacterial small subunit ribosomal RNA
Source: RNAcentral